UCAGCGACUUAUAUUCUGUAGCAAGGUUAACCGAAUAGGGGAGCCGGAGGGAAACCGAGUCUUAACCGGGCGUUAAGUUGCAGGGUAUAGACCCGAAACCCGGUGAUCUAGCCAUGGGCAGGUUGAAGGUUGGGUAACACUAACUGGAGGACCGAACCGACUAAUGUUGAAAAAUUAGCGGAUGACCUGUGGCUGGGGGUGAAAGGCCAAUCAAACCGGGAGAUAGCUGGUUCUCCCCGAAAGCUAUUUAGGUAGCGCCUCGUGAAUUCAUCUCCGGGGGUAGAGCACUGUUUCGGCUAGGGGGCCAUCCCGGCUUACCAACCCGAUGCAAACUGCGAAUACCGGAGAAUGUUAUCACGGGAGACACACGGCGGGUGCUAACGUCCGUCGUGAAGAGGGAAACAACCCAGACCGCCAGCUAAGGUCCCAAAGUCAUGGUUAAGUGGGAAACGAUGUGGGAAGGCCCAGACAGCCAGGAUGUUGGCUUAGAAGCAGCCAUCAUUUAAAGAAAGCGUAAUAGCUCACUGGUCGAGUCGGCCUGCGCGGAAGAUGUAACGGGGCUAAACCAU
RNAcentral lists this ribosomal RNA (569 nucleotides) under Salmonella enterica. RNAcentral's name for it is "partial 23S ribosomal RNA". It matches the Rfam family "Bacterial large subunit ribosomal RNA", at positions 620 to 1190 of the family's 2925-position model. The record is from RNAcentral. RNAcentral also lists the same sequence under 1 other name. Lineage: Bacteria; Pseudomonadati; Pseudomonadota; Gammaproteobacteria; Enterobacterales; Enterobacteriaceae.